AAUAAAACACCCACAUUCAAUGAAAGUAAUUAUUCAUUUUACCUGCAAGGAAUGUUGUAUGGGUUCCAUCCAACGUACAUGCAUGCAUCCAAGUUAUUUUGGGGCAAUUUGGUUGUAAGAAACCCAUAUUUAUGAUAUAAA
Long non-coding RNA from Sander lucioperca (pikeperch), 141 nucleotides. RefSeq lists it as uncharacterized. The transcript has 3 exons. NCBI's taxonomy places the organism in Eukaryota, Metazoa, Chordata, Actinopteri, Perciformes, Percidae. The record is from RefSeq and is a predicted model, not a curated record.